AGUUAGUCUGUGGCCAAAGAAGACUACUGCUGCAGGAGGAGGAGCUGCAGAGCAAAUCAGAGGAGCUGCUGAGUCGUGGUGUGUGUGAGGGGUGUGUGUGUGUGAACGUGGAGGAGUUGAAAGGUCAGGUGAACAAACUGCAGAGCAGGAACAGAGAGCUGGAGCUGCAGAGCAGUGGGAGAAACAACGACUACAGACAGCAUGCGGAGGCCCUGGCUAGUCUGCGUUCUGAGAUGGUGAGGGCUCAGUCAGAGGAGCUCCGGAGAGAACGGAAACACGCAGAAGUGGAAAAGGAACAAAUGCAAAAAGAGAUGGAGGAAGAGAGAGACAGACUGCAGAAAGAGGGAGAAGAAGAGAGAGACAGACUGCAGAAAGAGGGAGAAGAAGAGAGAGAACGCCUGCAGAAAGAGAGAGAAGAAGAGAGAGACAGACUGCAGAAAGAGGGAGAAGAAGAGAGAGAACGCCUGCAGAAAGAAAGAGAAGAAGAGAGAGAACGCCUGCAGAAAGAGAGAGAAGAAGAGAGAGAACGCCUGCAGAAAGAGAUAGAAGAGGUGAAAGGAAGAGUGACAACACAGAUGGAAGGAAACACGGAGCUUGUGGAGGAGCAGAGAGAGAGUCUGAACCAGGAGAAGAAGAGAUUGAAGGAGCAGGCGGACGAGGAAAGGAAGAGAUUGAAGGAGCAGGCGGACGAGGAAAGGAGGAGAUUGAAGGAGCAGGUGAAGAAGGCGAUAGAAGAGGUGAUGAGGAAACAUGCAGCUGAGCUCCACAACGCCCAGGAAGCACUGAGGACAAACCAAGAGGUGUGUGUACGUGUGCAGGAGGACAGGAGGAGUGGUGAAGAGGUGUGUCGAAGGCUGGAGACUGAGAGGGAGGAGCUUAGAGACCAGCUGCAGCAGGCAACCAAUCAGAUCUGGCGUUUGGAAGGAGUCAUUCAGCAGCAAAGUCAGGGGGUGUGGCCUCUGAAACUCCUCCCACCUGCGGAAUCCACUGUUCCCACCUCCGAGAGGAUCUACAGCACAUACAGGAAGAGAUGGAGCAACAGAGAGAGAGUUACGAGAGGGAGAUGACAGGUCUGAGAACAGACAAACAGAGACUGGAGGAGAAGGUUCUAGAGCUCAACCAACAGACCCAAGGGAACACAGACAGAAACGUUCUAGAACACAACCAAGAGAACACUGACAGAAACGUUCUAGAACACAACCAAGAGAACACUGACAGAAACGUUCCAGAACACAACCAAGAGAACACUGACGAGAGAAUCCGG
This is a long non-coding RNA of Oncorhynchus tshawytscha (Chinook salmon), 1264 nucleotides long. Lineage: Eukaryota; Metazoa; Chordata; Actinopteri; Salmoniformes; Salmonidae. The record is from Ensembl.